This 1473-nucleotide long non-coding RNA is filed under the name Equus asinus (donkey). RNAcentral describes it as "lncRNA (ENSEASG00005029979.1)". The record is from RNAcentral. Lineage: Eukaryota; Metazoa; Chordata; Mammalia; Perissodactyla; Equidae.
UGGGGACUUAGGAGGAGCCAGGAUGAAAAGCUUGCCUGUUCCCUAAACUUGGCAGGGCUAUUCUGGAAGCCUGGCUCUCCCCCUGUCUGGCUGAGAAGACAUUCCUCUCACUAGAUCAUAAAGUCCUGUCCCGUUGUGGCCGUGGUCCGUCUACCCCUCAGCACCUGCCCUGUGUCUACACGAAUUUGUCAGACUGGACAGAAGAAGCCCACAGCCAGGGUGGGCUGGGUUUUUCCAAUCCCUGUCAGCAUUCUUAUACUCCCAGUGUGGUUUCUUGGAGGCUAAGCCCAGUUUUCUUUAGCCCCUCGACUUGCAGGUCCAAGCGAAGCUACCAGACCAGCUCUUCCAAACCGUACGCCAGAUGGGACCUGCACUCCAGCCACUGCAAGCAGCUUUGUUUUCAGCACAAAUGCCAGGACUUGAGAAAAGUGUUCACAACGUCAUGGUAAGACGUAUCUCCAUGGAACCAGAGGGCUCGCAGUCUGCGGGCUCAGGCGCAUAAAAAAUAUUUAUUGGACAGGAGAAUGGCUGAUGGAGGGCAGGACAGCUGGAUGGAAAGUGAGACCUGACUCAGGAGGGAGCUGCUAUCUCCUUCUGUUCUCAGUUCCCCUGACGUCCUGCGUGCCUCACAUCCUCCAUCACCUCCAACACUGAGCAGGGCUUGGCUUCUGCUGGGAGAACGGAAUGGGAAAGAUUUUUGGCAGUGGGAGAAAUGGGAGUUGAUGCUUCAAUUUGUUCCACGUCACAGGCCUCAAAGAGCUUUCACAUACCUGUUCUCAUUCACGAUUUGCAAUCACACUGCCAGGAUGAAGGAACUACCUGAGAGAUCCAGAUGGAAAUGUGGUGGCUCAGAGUGGGAAAGUCACUUCCCUAAAGCCACACACCUCGAAAGCGGCAGGGGCAGGACUCCAACACAGAUCCUUCCAACUCCAGGGUGGUGAACCAUCUCCAAGUGUGCGUUUCUCAGCCUGGACCUCAUGCUGCCUUUAUAGGGGGUGGAAGCAGAAAUGAUGACUGGGGCAAGGCCACGGGGCUGCUCGUUAAGAGUGGGGAUGCUGAGGUUAGUGCACAAGACCCCAGCUCUCUCCAGAUUCCUCCUUAUAGUCCUGCAUGAAAAGAACCUACAUGCAGGCCACCAGAAACACUGUCUCCUCACAGGAACGAUCUAGCAUAACCCACAAUAAGAAAAGCUCAGAAUCCUGCAGGGGCCCAGCAGACCUCAUGAACGGUGGGCCUCAAAUUUUCAGCCUCUCUGGGCUACUUAACUCAGACCAUCAACUUUAGACGCAGAAACUAAGCUUCCAAGAGGUAACUCACCCAAGGUCACAAAGCCAAUUAAAACGGUGGAAGCUGGAUUCCACCCAGGCCUUUCGGAUUCCAGAAGUAACACAGCAACUGAGUAUAAAUGGCUGCUGGAAACGUUUCAUAGGUCCUCCCCAUCCCCCGAUCCGGAUUUCUGUGUCUUGCGUCACA